RNAcentral lists this ribosomal RNA (906 nucleotides) under Talaromyces verruculosus. RNAcentral describes it as "LSU rRNA". It matches the Rfam family "Eukaryotic large subunit ribosomal RNA", at positions 38 to 961 of the family's 3401-position model. The record is from RNAcentral. Lineage: Eukaryota; Fungi; Ascomycota; Eurotiomycetes; Eurotiales; Trichocomaceae.
GCAUAUCAAUAAGCGAGAAAAGAACAACCGGGAUUGCCUCAGUAACGGCGAGUGAAGCGGCAAAGAGCUCAAAUUUGAAAUCUGGCCCCCUUGGGGUCCGAGUUGUAAUUUGCAGAGGAUGCUUCGGGUGCGGUCCCCGUCUAAGUGCCCUGGAACGGGCCGUCAUAGAGGGUGAGAAUCCCGUCUGGGAUGGGCGGCCGCGCCCGUGUGAAGCUCCUUCGACGAGUCGAGUUGUUUGGGAAUGCAGCUCUAAGCGGGUGGUAAAUUUCAUCUAAAGCUAAAUACUGGCCGGAGACCGAUAGCGCACAAGUAGAGUGAUCGAAAGAUGAAAAGCACUUUGAAAAGAGAGUUAAACAGCACGUGAAAUUGUUGAAAGGGAAGCGUUGUCCACCAGACUCGCCCGGGGGGGUUCAGCCGGCACGUGUGCCGGUGUACUCCUCUCCGGGCGGGCCAGCAUCGGUUUGGGCGGCUGGUGAAAGGCCCCGGGAAUGUAACACCCUCCGGGGUGCCUUAUAGCCCGGGGGCGCCAUACAGCCAGCCUGGACCGAGGCCCGCGCUUCGGCGAGGAUGCUGGCGUAAUGGUGGUCAACGGCCCGUCUUGAAACACGGACCAAGGAGUCUAACAUCUAUGCGAGUGUUCGGGUGUCAAACCCGUCCGCGCAGUGAAAGCGAACGGAGGUGGGAGCCCCUCGGGGCGCACCAUCGACCGAUCCUGAUGUCUUCGGAUGGAUUUGAGUAAGAGCAUAGCUGUUGGGACCCGAAAGAUGGUGAACUAUGCCUGAAUAGGGCGAAGCCAGAGGAAACUCUGGUGGAGGCUCGCAGCGGUUUCUGACGUGCAAAUCGAUUCGUCAAAUUUGGGUAUAGGGGCGAAAGACUAAAUCGACCCAUCUGGUAGCUGGGUUCUGC